RNAcentral lists this transfer RNA (85 nucleotides) under Candidatus Nomurabacteria bacterium RIFCSPHIGHO2_02_FULL_33_12. Its description in RNAcentral is "tRNA-Leu". It matches the Rfam family "tRNA". From Rfam's summary of the family: Transfer RNA (tRNA) molecules are approximately 80 nucleotides in length. RNAcentral also lists the same sequence under 1 other name. The record is from RNAcentral. Lineage: Bacteria; Candidatus Nomuraibacteriota.
GCCCAGGUGGCGGAAUUGGUAUACGCGCUGGUCUUAGGAACCAGUGGAGCAAUCCUUGGAGGUUCAAGUCCUCUCCUGGGCACAA